UACAGCGGUCUCGAGCGUUAGGCGGAAUCACUGGGCUUAAAGCGUGUGUAGGCGGAUUGCUAAGUACCUUGUGAAAUCCCACGGCUUAACCGUGGAACUGCUUGGUAUACUGGCUGUCUUGAGCCACUUAGGGGCAACCGGAACAAACGGUGGAGCGGUGAAAUGCGUAGAUAUCGUUUGGAACGCCAAUGGUGAAAACAGGUUGCUGGGAGUGUGCUGACGCUGAGACACGAAAGCCAGGGGAGCAAACGGG
This 253-nucleotide ribosomal RNA is filed under the name uncultured bacterium. Its description in RNAcentral is "partial 16S ribosomal RNA". It matches the Rfam family "Bacterial small subunit ribosomal RNA", at positions 524 to 776 of the family's 1533-position model. The record is from RNAcentral.